Molecule: ribosomal RNA, 460 nt
Filed under: uncultured bacterium
Lineage: Bacteria
Description: partial 16S ribosomal RNA
Rfam family: Bacterial small subunit ribosomal RNA
Source: RNAcentral
CCUACGGGAGGCAGCAGUGAGGAAUAUUGGUCAAUGGGCGCGAGCCUGAACCAGCCAAGUAGCGUGAAGGAUGACUGCCCUACUUAUUGUAAACUUCUUUUAUAAAGGAAUAAAGUUAGGCUCGCGGUCCUCUGUGGGUAUAUUUGAUGAAUAAGCAUCGUCUAACUCCGUGCCAGCAGCCGCGGUAAUACGGAGGGCCCGAGCGUUAUCCGGUUUUACUGGGUUUAAAGGGAGCGUAGAUGGGUUGUUAAGUCAGUUGUGAAAGUUUGCGGCUGAACCGUAAAAUUGCAAUUGAUACUGGCAGACGUGAGUACAGUAGAGGUAGGCGGAAUUCGGGGUGUAGCGGUGAAAUGCUUAGAUAUCACGAAGAACUCCGAUUGCGAAGGCAGCCUACUAAACUGCAACUGACAUUGAUGCUCGAAAGUGUGGGUAUCAAACAGGAUUAGAUACCCGGGUAGUC